Molecule: non-coding RNA, 464 nt
Filed under: Contracaecum microcephalum
Lineage: Eukaryota; Metazoa; Nematoda; Chromadorea; Rhabditida; Anisakidae
Source: RNAcentral
UGUUUUUUUUUACUUUGGACUUUAGGGUAAAAUUGAAAGUCUCUGUAAAGAGUUGUUUAAGAUUUUAAGAUUUAGCGAACGAGCCAGAUUAGUACCUGGUUAGAUAAAAGUUAAAAGAGCAGGAGUAAAGUUGUAUUUAAACUGUAAGAAUAUUGGCAGGCCUUUAAAUUAUCUUUGGAGGCUGAGUAGUAAUUGAGAGCCCUCAUUAACAACUCUUACUUUGGGCUCAUGUAUGAUCGUUUAUUUUAUUCUUGAGGAUUGUAAUUUUAGUUUUUUAUCUGAAAAAAUAGAUAUAUACUUGGCUUAUGUAGGAGGUUAAUUUGGCCUACAAUGUUUUGUUUUUUGGAUAGUACUAUUAGUAGGUACUUGAAAUUGUAAAAGACAGUAAGUUAUCUUUUUAUGUGUUACUGAAGUUUAUUUAGAGGCGGUACAAAUCAUCCAUCAAUUGCCUAUAGGGGAGUAAG